Molecule: non-coding RNA, 84 nt
Organism: Mycena albidolilacea
Lineage: Eukaryota; Fungi; Basidiomycota; Agaricomycetes; Agaricales; Mycenaceae
Source: the annotation of a GenBank genome assembly
GCAUUAAUGGGGUAGUGGUAACCUGGGUCGUUGCCAUUCGUACUAAUGCUCGACCCGCCGGGGGUUCGAUUCCCCCUUAAUGCA